UACGAAGGGUGCAAACGUUGCUCGGAAUCAUUGGGUGUAAAGCGCACGUAGGCGGCCUCGCAAGUCUGAUGUGAAAUCCCUCGGCUCAACCGAGGACGUGCAUCGGAAACUGCGGGGCUUGAGUACUGAAGAGGAUCGCGGAAUUCCCGGUGUAGAGGUGAAAUUCGUAGAUAUCGGGAGGAACACCAGUGGCGAAGGCGGCGAUCUGGGCAGAUACUGACGCUGAGGUGCGAAAGCGUGGGGAGCAAACAGG
This 253-nucleotide ribosomal RNA is filed under the name uncultured bacterium. RNAcentral describes it as "partial 16S ribosomal RNA". It matches the Rfam family "Bacterial small subunit ribosomal RNA", at positions 524 to 776 of the family's 1533-position model. The record is from RNAcentral.